CCUACGGGAGGCAGCAGUGGGGAAUAUUGGACAAUGGGGGCAACCCUGAUCCAGCCAUGCCGCGUGUGUGAAUAAGGCCCUCGGGUUGUAAAGCACUUUCAGUGAGGAAGAACGCCUGGUGGUUAAUACCCAUCAGGAAAGACAUCACUCACAGAAGAAGCACCGGCUAACUCCGUGCCAGCAGCCGCGGUAAUACGGAGGGUGCGAGCGUUAAUCGGAAUUACUGGGCGUAAAGCGCGCGUAGGUGGCUGGAUAAGCCGGUUGUGAAAGCCCCGGGCUCAACCUGGGAACGGCAUCCGGAACUGUCAAGCUAGAGUGCAGGAGAGGAAGGUAGAAUUCCCGGUGUAGCGGUGAAAUGCGUAGAGAUCGGGAGGAAUACCAGUGGCGAAGGCGGCCUUCUGGACUGACACUGACACUGAGGUGCGAAAGCGUGGGUAGCAAACAGGAUUAGAUACCCUAGUAGUC
This 465-nucleotide ribosomal RNA is filed under the name Vreelandella stevensii. Its description in RNAcentral is "partial 16S ribosomal RNA". It matches the Rfam family "Bacterial small subunit ribosomal RNA", at positions 338 to 795 of the family's 1533-position model. Lineage: Bacteria; Pseudomonadati; Pseudomonadota; Gammaproteobacteria; Oceanospirillales; Halomonadaceae. The record is from RNAcentral.